CCCCCGCUAAUUUGGAACUCAGGGCUCUCAAUCUCCAUCUGCUGUGUUGGUGACAAUUGAGAGUCCCUGCUUAAGCUUGAAUAAACGACCCUCAUGUGCUUACAUCGGAAAUGGCCUCCUGGUGGUCUUUGGGACCUUGCAAUCUGGGCACAACACCAGCCACAGUAAGAUACUACUUUACUCCAACUAGAAGAGCUAUUGCCAAGAAGACAAUAGUAAAUGCUGAUCAAGAUAUAGAGAAAAGGGCAGCCUUCUAUGCUGUUGUUAGAAAUGUAAACUAGUACAACCACUGAGGAGAACAGAUUGAGGUUCCUCAAAAAAUUAAAAGUAGAGUUACCUUAUGACCCAGCGAUCCCACUACUGAGUAUAUAUCUGUGGAGAACACUUUGAAAUAAGAUGGAAUUGUAUAACCCUAAGUGUGCUGUAACCCUAAGUGUGCUGUAACCCUAAAGUGUGCUGUGACUUUAAGAGCGCUGUAACCUAAGUAUGACAUAAUCAUAAGAGUGAUGAAAGUAGAAUCUUAAGUGGUAUGGAACUGAUAAGGGUGUGCCCUGAACUGGACAAGGAGUACCCCGAACUGGACAGGGUGCGCCCUGAAAUGGACAGUGUGAUAAGUCUGAACCAAUACCACAAGCGCCCAGUUAGAAUAGUAUAAAAGGAGCUGAAGACCCCAAGCAAGUCGACGAUCCAUCCACCGACCAGUCGACCAGUCAAUCUGCUGAUCUGAUUACCAACCGAGACAUCUGCACACCUGAUCCCACUGGAAGGAGCGUCUCCGCCGACCAGACGGGACCAGAGGAUGAGGCAAGCAGAGAGACGGAUAGCCUAACUCCGACUCGACGCCCUUCUUCUACGGAUCGGACCCUCUGACCCUACGGGAGGAAACGUCGCGCUCCCAUAAGGACUUGCGCAGUACAGGUACAGGGACGUGGUAAUUGGCAGACUUAAUAUUGUGUGGUAAUUGUAUUGAAGUGAAUUAUGAUAAGUGUGUGAACUGCCGUCCGUGUCCGAGUCCUCUUUACCCACGGUACCUGCUCACGACAAUAGCCAAAGGGAAUGAAAUCAGUAUGUAGAAAAGGCAUUUUCCCUCCAUGUUUAUUGUACCACCAUUUGCAAGAGCCACAAAGUGGAAACAACUGCAGAGUCCAACAGAUAAUGCAUAAGAAAAAGUGGUAUCACGAUGGUAUGUGAUUCAGCUAUAAAGCAUUAAAUUCUGCCAUUUAUGACAACGUGGAUGGAGUGGGAGAUCAUUUUGCUAAGCCAAGCACAGGUAGAAAAGUACUAUGUGAUCUUAUUCAUAUGUGGAAGCUAAAAAUGCUGACCUCACAGGAACAUAGGGAAAUGGCUAGAGGCAGCCAAGAGUGGAGGAGGGAGGAGUGGCAAAGGCUGGCCCACAAGAACUGAGGGACAGUUGUACAAAAGUAAGAGCUCUGCUAUGCCACUGCACAGAAGAGUUACUAUGGGAGACAUUCAUCUGCUGAACACUUUGCUUUCCAAGUGAUGGGUGCAGUUACUGUUCCUCCUGUUGCCUCCUGCAGAGGCACAGUCUUCUAUCAAAGUCCCUAUUUCCUGGACAGGAUUCCAGAUGCUGCAGCCUGUUUGACUCCCAGGAUAUAAUCCAGGAAAGAAUGGUGGGAGACUUGAUGAAUAUGAACAAGAAGGGUGAACCCUAGAAGGAAAGUCCUCAACAGGUGAGAAGGACAAUGACUGGUGCACACGCAGAGAGCACAGCCUGAGAAAGGGCUCUCAACAACAGAGACAAAGGCACAAAACAUUUCUUCUCCCAGCACUGAAGAGUUCUGCAGGAGACUGGCCACAUCUGUAAUGAGGGCAUCCCGGACGGCUUGGAGCUGAGCCAGGCUCUCCAGCCAUAGGAGGGGAGGCCAGAAGGCCAAGAUGCAGAAGGUGCAGCACUGAUGAGCUGACUCCAGCAGCUCAAAGUCCACAGUCAGCUGGCUCCAAAGCAGGGAACAUCACAGAGGAGAAACAGUCCAUGGCAAAGCAGGGCAGACAGAAGGCAGCAAAGCAGUGAAGCAACAGCAGCAGGCCAAGUAGCAACCAAAGUAGCAAGUGAUGACAGCAGCCCGGAACCACUGAGUGUGCAAGAAUUUUAGGAGACAAAGCCUGUGAAGAGCUUCGUCCCAUCCCUGGCCCAGGAUGAACAUUCAUCAGAGCUGACACUGAUGAGAAUUUGGGCUCGGCCAAGGUCCUGCAUGUCUGAGGCAGCUCCUCGAGUGUGACUUGGGGCUCCUGGAGGCUCCCACGGUUCUGCAGUGAAGACUGGAGAGCAGCAGGCAUCUUAGCUCUCAAAUGUAGCACCACUUAAGAGAUGGGUUUGAUUUCCCUGAAACUGUUUGGACCUAUUUGUAUAAAAUUUUAUAUGGAAUAGAUAAUGUGAGAUUUUUAAGUAAUUAUUUUGUGGUGACUUAAAAAAUUAGUUUUCAAAUAGAGAUGUAAAAGUUUUGAAAAUAUAUUUGUGUUAAUUUGGAAUCCAUAUUAAAAAUUAAUAAAAAAUAUGGAGAGUAAUAUAAUUCUUGUUAAAUUUAUG
RNAcentral lists this long non-coding RNA (2548 nucleotides) under Heterocephalus glaber (naked mole-rat). Its description in RNAcentral is "lncRNA (ENSHGLG00100048775.1)". The record is from RNAcentral. Lineage: Eukaryota; Metazoa; Chordata; Mammalia; Rodentia; Bathyergidae.